GGCUCCAUAGCGUAGUGGUUAGCACUUUUGCUUUACACGCAGAAGGUCCUGGUGGAGCCA
RNAcentral lists this transfer RNA (60 nucleotides) under Pteropus alecto (black flying fox). It matches the Rfam family "tRNA". From Rfam's summary of the family: Transfer RNA (tRNA) molecules are approximately 80 nucleotides in length. Their secondary structure includes four short double-helical elements and three loops (D, anti-codon, and T loops). The record is from Rfam by way of RNAcentral. Lineage: Eukaryota; Metazoa; Chordata; Mammalia; Chiroptera; Pteropodidae.